This 346-nucleotide ribosomal RNA is filed under the name uncultured bacterium. RNAcentral describes it as "partial 16S ribosomal RNA". It matches the Rfam family "Bacterial small subunit ribosomal RNA", at positions 373 to 710 of the family's 1533-position model. The record is from RNAcentral.
GGGCGCAAKYCUGAUGCAGCCNUGCCGCGUGUGUGAAGAAGGCCUUCGGGUUGUAAAGCACUUUCAGCGGGGAGGAAGGCGAUAAGGUUAAUAACCUCAUCGAUUGACGUUACCCGCAGAAGAAGCACCGGCUAACUCCGUGCCAGCAGCCGCGGUAAUACGGAGGGUGCAARMRWWAAWNGGAAUUACUGGGCGUAAAGCGCACGCAGGCGGUCUGUNAAGUCGGAUGUGAAAUCCCCGGGCUCAACCUGGGAACUGCAUUCGAAACUGGCAGGCUAGAGUCUUGUAGAGGGGGGUAGAAUUNCNAGGUGUAGCGGUGAAAUGCGUAGAGAUCUGGAGGAAUACC